RNAcentral lists this transfer RNA (75 nucleotides) under Corallococcus sp. CA047B. RNAcentral's name for it is "tRNA-Asn". It matches the Rfam family "tRNA". From Rfam's summary of the family: Transfer RNA (tRNA) molecules are approximately 80 nucleotides in length. Their secondary structure includes four short double-helical elements and three loops (D, anti-codon, and T loops). The record is from RNAcentral. Lineage: Bacteria; Pseudomonadati; Myxococcota; Myxococcia; Myxococcales; Myxococcaceae.
UCCAGGAUGGCUCAAUGGCAGAGCACGCGGCUGUUAACCGCAGGGUUGGGGAUUCGAGUCCCUCUCCUGGAGCUA